Molecule: ribosomal RNA, 495 nt
Filed under: uncultured bacterium
Lineage: Bacteria
Description: partial 16S ribosomal RNA
Rfam family: Bacterial small subunit ribosomal RNA
Source: RNAcentral
GACGAGCGCUGGCGGCGUGCCUAAUACAUGCAAGUAGAACGCUGAAGGAGGAGCUUGCUCUUCUGGAUGAGUUGCGAACGGGUGAGUAACGCGUAGGUAACCUGCCUGGUAGUGGGGGAUAACUAUUGGAAACGAUAGCUAAUACCGCAUAAUAACAGUUGUUGCAUGACAACUGUUUGAAAGUUGCAAUUGCAUCACUACCAGAUGGACCUGCGUUGUAUUAGCUAGUUGGUGGGGUAACGGCUCACCAAGGCGACGAUACAUAGCCGACCUGAGAGGGUGAUCGGCCACACUGGGACUGAGACACGGCCCAGACUCCUACGGGAGGCAGCAGUAGGGAAUCUUCGGCAAUGGACGAAAGUCUGACCGAGCAACGCCGCGUGAGUGAAGAAGGUUUUCGGAUCGUAAAGCUCUGUUGUAAGAGAAGAACGAGUGUGAGAGUGGAAAGUUCACACUGUGACGGUAUCUUACCAGAAAGGGACGGCUAACUACGUG